AACAAAGGAAUGGUUAGAAAUACUUUUAAGAAAAUGAACGACGCCGAGUAACAAAUCCUUUUACAAAUCAGAUGGAUAUUCGUUUUUACUUUCAAGAGAACUGGAAGAAUUGUCAGUUGGUAGAUUUACAAAUAUUUUUCGAUGAUAGGUCACUGUGUAAUUUUGGGAUUUAGUUCAAGGUUCAAAGGCUGACUGAUACUUGACGCAACAAAAAUUUCCCUCAUUCCCAUCCUAGUUAUUUAUGUGAACAAAAUGUCUUGACACUUGUAACUAUAAAAACGGAAAAUUAAUGCAUUUACAGUAAAAUUUCGGAGUUCCCCUUGUGGUUCAGCAGUAACAAAUCUGACUAGGAUCCGUGAGGAUGCGGGUUCAAUCCCUGGCCUCACUCAGUGGGUUAAGGAUCCAGUGUUGCUGGGAGGUGGGGUGUAGGCUCAGAUCUGGCGUUGCUGUGGCUGUGGUGUAGGCUGGCCACUAUAGCUCCGAUUUGACCCCUAGCCUGGGAACUUCCAUAUGCCAUGGGUGCGGCCCUAAAAAGACAAUAAAAUAAAUAAUAGAAACUUACUUUUUAUGAGAAGAAAAUUUUGUGUAACUUUAGAGUUUACUGUCAUAGGAAAAUUUUAAAAAUUAUAUUUGUGUAUAAUAACAUUGCAGAGAAGUAUCAUAGGUUUAUCAGUAAAACACUUUAAAGCAUAAAUACUAGAGAAAAUUCUAAAGAGGAAUUAAAAAUGGUAAGUGUACAAGGAGAAAAACGAAUAGUAUAAAAUUUCAUGUUUUUGGGCCUGACAUGGCUCAGUAGUUGAUGAACUUGACUAGUAUCCAUGAGGAUAGGGGUUCGAUCCCUGGCCUCGAUCAGUGGGUUAAGGAUCUGGCAUUGCCGUGAGCUGUGGUGUAGGUUGCAGAUGAGGCUCGGAUCCCGCGUUGCUGUGGCUGUGGUGUAGGCCGGCGGCUGUAGCUCCGAUUCAACCCCUAGCCUGGGAACCACCAUAUGCCGAAGGUGUGGCCCUAAAAAG
RNAcentral lists this long non-coding RNA (1010 nucleotides) under Sus scrofa (pig). RNAcentral describes it as "lncRNA (ENSSSCG00030007177.1, ENSSSCG00190041137.1)". The record is from RNAcentral. Lineage: Eukaryota; Metazoa; Chordata; Mammalia; Artiodactyla; Suidae.